RNAcentral lists this long non-coding RNA (1326 nucleotides) under Brassica rapa (field mustard). RNAcentral's name for it is "long non-coding RNA (BRAP_LNC000368)". Lineage: Eukaryota; Viridiplantae; Streptophyta; Magnoliopsida; Brassicales; Brassicaceae. The record is from RNAcentral.
UGUUCAUCAAGAUCUCACAAAAUAAACCAAACAACUAAGAACUCUAGGAAUCCACAUAUAGCAUCAAGAAGAAAACAAAUGAUCAUCUACGUGGUUUUCGCAAGGCCAUGUCUUCUCGUGUAUAUGCAUUUCAAAGUUUCAUAUAACACCAUUGGUCCCCUUUCAGCUAGUCUUUGCUUCCUGGAAUCUGUUUUGGACAUCACCACCGGAGCUUAGUAGACAAGCUUCUAAGUGGGUCGAGCUCGUGUUCUUUUCUUGGGCUGUCUCCGUUACCACCGGUCUCAGCAUCUCGACAGCAAUCUAUUACCCUCUUUCGAUUCUCGCAGAGGGGGUACGGCAUUGGAGGUUGUGGGUUCGGUUGGUCAGUGAACUUUGCGACUCCUUGGUGGUACUGUACGGAGGGUUAGCAUUUCCCAGGAGCGUAUCUGUCUCAUGAUAGCUACGGCUGUGCUGGCUCUCUAAUCUCAUUGUUCAGGUCUUGUGAGCUCAGUCCGAGCUGUAUUCAGCGGCUUUCUCUGGCCCGGUUUCUUGCUGUUCAGUUGGCAAUUGUAUAUAUGGAAUAAUCAGGAGUAGUUCUUCUUUGGGAUGCAUUUUGGUUCCAACCUAGAAGGUCCGCUACGGGUUCUCCGUUGUGGGUGCGCGAGAGGAGUAUAGAAGUUGGUCUUGUCAACCACGUCUAUCUUUCUUGGUGGUGUCGCGUACUGAGCAUGUCGGCUUCAGAGGCUUGAUCUUGGGCUGCCUCUUCUCCACCUUUUCAAGGUGGUGCCUGCUCUCUUUGUCUUUUUGGUAUAGGUCUUUGGCGUGUGGCGAUCCUUGGAGGCUGUUCUGUCCGAAUAAUGCUCCUCAAGUUGAUGCGGGUGAUGGACCUCUAGUGUGGCUGUCUGUUCGGGUUAGCGGAUGCUCGGGAAGUCUUCAGCGAGCUGUUCUUGGUCGAGCUAAAUCUUUAAGAGCGGAUCAUCGGGGAGGCCAAAAUUACCGGGUUUCGACUCUCGAUAUAACUGUGGCUCUUCUUUUUGCGGCAAGCUGUAAGUGCGGAUUGGUUGAGGCCCUGGAUUGCAGUUAUUACUUGUUGUGUUUGUUCUUGUUUAGACUUGAUCGAGUUACUGUUUAGAUUUUUUUUUUUUCUUCAGCUUCUUGUUACCAUUGUACUUCUGUCAAAAAUCUGAUAAUUGGUAAUAAUAUCUUUACAUUUUUACAAAAAGAAAAAAAUUCAGAUAAAUAACCCUCAAUUUCGGAGUUACAUUGACCAUGAAAAAAGAGUAAAUCUCUGUGUAGUGUGUACUGAAUUAUUUUAUCAGUGAGAACAGAAUCUUCUUUUACGUAACG